CGGGUGAGUAACACGUGGGUAACCUGCCCCGAUGAUUGGGACAACCCGAGGAAACUCGGGCUAAUACCGGAUGUGCCCUGUGGUCUCAAGGCCACUAGGGGAAAGGAAGCUUCGGCCUCCGCAUCGGGAUGGGCCCGCGGCCCAUUAGCUUGUUGGUGAGGUAACGGCUCACCAAGGCGACGAUGGGUAGCUGGUCUGAGAGGACGAUCAGCCACACUGGGACUGAGACACGGCCCAG
RNAcentral lists this ribosomal RNA (238 nucleotides) under uncultured bacterium. RNAcentral describes it as "partial 16S ribosomal RNA". It matches the Rfam family "Bacterial small subunit ribosomal RNA", at positions 103 to 334 of the family's 1533-position model. The record is from RNAcentral.